Molecule: ribosomal RNA, 305 nt
Filed under: uncultured bacterium
Lineage: Bacteria
Description: bacterial SSU rRNA
Rfam family: Bacterial small subunit ribosomal RNA
Source: RNAcentral
CCUACGGGACGCAGCAGUGGGGAAUAUUGCGCAAUGGGGGCAACCCUGACGCAGCAACGCCGCGUGAUUGAAGAAGGCCUUCGGGUUGUAAAGAUCUUUAAACAGGGACGAAGAAAUGACGGUACCUGAAGAAUAAGCUCCGGCUAACUACGUGCCAGCAGCCGCGGUAAUACGUAUGGGGCAAGCGUUAUCCGGAUUUACUGGGUGUAAAGGGAGCGUAGGCGGCCUGGCAAGCCUGAUGUGAAAUACCGGGGCCCAACCCCGGGGCUGCAUUGGGAACUGCCAGGCUGGAGUGCCGGAGAGGC